Molecule: long non-coding RNA, 183 nt
Organism: Mya arenaria
Lineage: Eukaryota; Metazoa; Mollusca; Bivalvia; Myida; Myidae
Exons: 2
Source: RefSeq, a predicted model, not a curated record
AGAUGAAGAUUGUGCCUGGAUCGUGCAAUCCGGAUACUGGUAUGAUGACAGUUGCGAAGAAAACCACCAUUACAUAUGUGAGAAAGCAAACAGUGACGCAGUUGUCAUAGGAUGAUACAUCUACCAUUGGAUUUUAACUAGCAAUUUUGAUGUACUUAAACAGAAAUAAAAUACAAUUCAUCA